RNAcentral lists this transfer RNA (81 nucleotides) under marine eukaryotic metagenome. It matches the Rfam family "tRNA". From Rfam's summary of the family: Transfer RNA (tRNA) molecules are approximately 80 nucleotides in length. Their secondary structure includes four short double-helical elements and three loops (D, anti-codon, and T loops). Further hydrogen bonds mediate the characteristic L-shaped molecular structure. tRNAs have two regions of fundamental functional importance: the anti-codon, which is responsible for specific mRNA codon recognition, and the 3' end, to which the tRNAs corresponding amino acid is attached (by aminoacyl-tRNA synthetases). tRNAs cope with the degeneracy of the genetic code in two manners: having more than one tRNA (with a specific anti-codon) for a particular amino acid; and 'wobble' base-pairing, i.e. permitting non-standard base-pairing at the 3rd anti-codon position. The record is from RNAcentral.
GAGGGGUGGCUGAGCGGUCAAAAGCAGCGGACUGUAAAUCCGCCGGGUUAUCCCUACGCAGGUUCGAAUCCUGCCCCCUCC